AGAAUGGCUGGAUCUGGUGCCCAGCUCUAUCCCAUCUCCAGCUUUCUGUUGGUGUGGACCCUGGAGGGCAGUGGUUAUGACUUGAAUGAUUGAGUUUUACCACACAUGUAGAACUGGAUUGGAUUUCUACCUCCUGGCACUGAGCCUUACCCAGCCACAGACUUUGUGAGCAUUUGGAGAGGCCCCCAAAUAUACUGACUUCCUGACGGCUGGACCCUUAAUGUUACACAGUAAAAGGACACUCAAUUUGCAAGUGGAAUUAAGGCUGCUAAUCAGCUGCUGUCUUUAAGGAGAUAAUGAAGAUCUAUAAUUAACUAAAGCAAGAAUGUGGGGAAGGCGUAUGAGAUUGUUUUGAGUCAUUUAAAGAAAACAGAAUCUACAUGUCCUGUUGUUGGAGCAUAUUGUGCAUGAAAGAACAGUUCUGAAUAUCUCACUUCUACUGGUGCCCAGUGAUUGCAGAAGUUAAAGAACUGCUGUAGCCUGGUUUCUUAGCUUUCUCCAUGGAGAUUACUGGAAAACUUUAUUAUAUUUCUGUAUGUGUCUUUCUUUCCAUCUAAAAAAUAAGGCUUGAUUUCCUUCUUCAGAAAGUAAUCUGCAUGAGAUAGUGUGAUUUGCCCUUCCCUCCCUUCCCCUGAAUGUAUAUGAUACAUCCAUGAUACGUUCAUUUCCAAGGAAACCAGGUGUCUUUUCUCCAAAAUGGUAAGUUCACAUAAAUUAUCAAUCUCAUUCUUCUUAAUUUCCCAAGGUCAUAGUUCAUAAUUUUCCUUCAACAUUAUAUCUUCAUAUUUUCCCUAUUAUACCAUUUCUUCUGUCUGUAAGUUGUUCAAAUUCUAUCAUUUGUAAAGCUUACCUCAAUCUUACCUGCAUUCAAGCUAUCACAUCUGCUGUUCCCUUCCUUCACUGACAAAUUACUUAAGCUAAGCCUCAAUUAUUUUUCAUUUCGUUAGCUCCUUUACUUUUCAGCUCAUUUCAAUAUAGCGUUUCCCCCUAUCAAUUUUCAAUUGACCUUGAGACAACACCAGUGAACUGAAAAACACAUUAAUAAAUUUAGUGACUCAUUGCACUGCUCACUAAAUAGACCCCUUUAACAUCUAACACUACCAACAUGAUUCUUUAUCUCUUUUCUCCUUUGAUGUACAGUGGACUCAUUUCCCGGUUUCCCUUCUACCUGUUGUAGAAUUACUGGUGCCUGCACCUUUGUCAUUCAAUAAAAAAUUGAGACACUUCAUGGGACUCUCAGUUAUCCUUUCUCCUGUUAGGCUACAUUUCCUUCCUUGCUGUGUUUAGUGUCUACUCCCAGGACUUCCUUCAUCUAAACAUUCAUAUUCCUAAUCAAUAACCUCUCAUGCAAGUGUGUCUCCACUAUUGUUUUCUGUAACGCAAUCUACCUAAUUCCAUGCUACUAUCAUUCAGGCUCUAAUUUAAAAUCCUCCAAUAGGUGUUCUCUCUUAUAAACUACCCUCUACCAUGACUUUUAUUUUCUGCUUUUAAUGUAUUACUAUAUAUCUUACUUUUAUCUGUGAAGACUUGGAGUGUAUGCUACCUGAAGGCCAUGUUUUAUGCAGCUCCCACAGUGUUUUUCAAUCUUUUGCAUAGUGAUUUCUCAUCAGCCACUUGUUGAAUGCAUGAAAAAUUAAUAUUACAACUGAAAAAUAGCUUCUUCCUCAUUAGGUUUUAUUUUUAGGGUUGAUGCUAAUAGUCAGUCUUGGAGUCUUAUAAGUUAAUCUUACCUUGUGCUCAGAAGAGCCCUAAUUAGAAUCUAAUAAUGCACACACAUUCAUCUGAGUACACUGCAGGGAAAGUAUAGGAGAUCAACUUCAGAUAUGCAAAUUCAAUUCCUGAAAUAUUUUAAAUAUUUUAUUGUAGCAUAAAAAUAGCAUGCCAAUAGCUUCCAAAGUGUGGUUCUUUUGUUCCUCCCUCAAAACCAAAAUUUCUCAUCUUCAAUUGGAGAACUUAUAAAUGAGAUAGGUAUUAAACUACAUAAAUAUAGGUCAAUAAAUAUUGGCUACUGCAUUUGGAAAUAUAGUGUGUGAUAUAUUUGAUUAAAUUUAUUUAUUAUUUUUUUUCUGAUGUUUUCGCAUGAGGAAGAAGUGGGCACAACUAGGACUGUUAAAUUGUUAGGGAAUAUUCCUUAAUUUUAAAAACAGAAGAAAUGCAAAGAAACAUGAGUGAGGGAAUGGAACUGGGAGACCAGUUAUGGCUCCUCAGUAAUCACAUCUUAAUUAUCAGUUCCAGCAGACAAUUACCUUUGGAUAACAUUUUUCCACAUUUUGAAGAAUCCUUGUAUUUGUCUCAGUAUCCAUGCAUUAAUCUCUCAGUGUAAUAAAAAACAGUUUCACCCAUAAAAGCUUUUAGAGUAUAUUUACAUUUAUAGAAAUGUUGAAAAGAUAAGUUUCCCUACCUGAAGCUCAGUAUCUCCCGUUAUUAAAAUCUUCCCUUUCUACAUAUUUGCUACAAUUAAUUAACCAAUAUUGUUGCAUUGUCGUUAAACCAAAGUCCACAGUUUAUUCAGAUAGCCUUCAUUCAUAUUUAAUGUCUGUCUUCUGUUGAGAUUCCAUUCAGGAUAUCCUAUUCCGUUUAGCUCAUGUUCUCUGGGAUUUCUCUUGGCUGUGGCACUUUCCCAGACUUUCCUUCUUUAUCAUUUCUUGACAGUUUUGAAGACAAGUGCUUAGGUAUUUUAUAUAAUAUCCCUCAACUGGGAAUUUUCUGAUCUUUUUCUCAUGGUCAAGCAAGGUUAUAAGUUUGGGGAGGAAAAAAACACACAGGUAAAGUAUUAGCAUCAUCAUGACUAUAAUGUUAACAUGAAUUAUAAACUGUUGAUGUUAAUGUUUACAACUGAAAUAGUGUUCAUCAAGUUUCUCCAAAAGCUCUCUUACUUUAAAUUUGGGCUUCUCAGAACCAGUAACCUAAAAUCUGGACUCCUGUCACCUGAUGCCCUUUGUUGAGUCCAUCUUUUGGGCCAGGAAAAUUAUAUCUGUUAAAACCAUAUUGCAGAAAUGUAGUUUGUGCUCCAUAGUGCUGAAAUGCAUCAAUUCCCUAAAGCAACUCAACCUUAUUGUGAAAGAAAGUAAUCUCUGAGUUCUUUUCCCUAAGAUAAAUUUUGUGAGAAGGACAAGAGUUUCUACCGUGUACCUCUUUGUCACCCUGUAUAAGCCUUUGGCCAUAUUUUCUUUUAAGUCUAUUUUAACCUCAAAGAGGCAAAAAUACAUAUCUCUUUCAAGUUGUAAUGUGUCAAAUGUGUGUGUUGCUUUGGAAUUUAAUUGUGCUGCUGUCCAAAAAGCUCUGUUUGGAAACAGGAAAUAUAUUUCCUAGUGACAAGAGCAUAUUUCAACUGAAGCAGCAAGUUGGUUAUAAGGCCCUAGGUUACAUUUCAGAAAAAGAAAGCAAGCCAAUCAAACAGAAGCAUAGGCAGGCCUCUCAGGCUAAUCAAAGCUUCAUGUCUUUCUAAUUUUGCUUUCAUGAGUCCCACAGAGUAAAUUAUAUUGCUCAAAGUGAAAUGUAGCCCUGUACUUUCACUCACUUAUUCUUUUGUAUAUCUUUCAAAAGAUGAUGGAUUCAGAUCAAGCUCAAAUUUUAGAGCCACCCUGUCAACAUCAGUGACAAAAAAGACUGCAUUGUGUGUUACCAUUUUGCUUUAAAUGGAACUCAUUUCCAUCAAAAGCAGUUUUUGGAGGGCAGAGUGGUAGCUUGGGGUAGUUCAUUACAGUGUUUGGUUCGAGAUUUUGAUCUGUAAAAGUGCAGAGAGCAGCUGCUAUAGCCAACUCUGCUGUGGGGAGGUCAGCUUUCCCUCCAGGGAGGGUUCUGAUCCUUGCCCAAACAGAGAGGCACAUUUGUCAUUGGAUUAUCCUCUAAUGCCUCUAGUGCCCAGGGUCUCUUUUGCCCUACACUCUCCCCAUUUGUCCAGAACUUUGAUUUCGUGAGAUGUAAGCCCUGAGGAGUUAUAUAGUUUGACGUAACUUUCAAAAAUAAAACAUAAUGAAGACCAAAAGGAUGUGUUUCUAAUGUUGGAGUCCUAGACAGUGUGUUAGUCUAUUUUCGGCAUGAGUGGAGGAUGGCCCUGGAUAUCACAGGGCGGGUAAUUUAAAGGAAUAAAGGUUUAUCCAACUCAUAGUUUUGUUUCUUUUUGAAAAGAUUUAUUUAUUUAUUUGAAAGGCAGAAUUACACGGAGAGAGGAGAGGCAGAGAGAGAGAGAGAGAGAGAGAGAGGUCUUCCAUUCGAUGGUCCACUCCCAAAAUGGCUGCAAUAGCAGGAGCUUCACCAAUCUGAAGCCAGGAGGCAGGAGCAUCUUCUGUGUCUCCCAUGUGGGUGCAGGGGUCCAAGGACGUGGGCCAUCUUCUACUGCUUUCUCAGGCCAAAACAAAGAACUGGAUCGGAAGUGGAACAGCUGGGUCUCGAACCAGUGCCCAUAUGGGAUGCCGGCACUACAGGCCCGGGCGUUAACCCACUGCGCCACAGCGCUGGCCCCAACCAACUCAUAGUUUUGGAGUCUAAGGGGUCCAAAGUUGAGGGACUAUAGCACAUAAAAAUCCCAGAUGGUGGAGAUUCUGUGGAGUCUUGAGACAGCAUAGGACAUCACCUAGUGUCUUAGCAACUAUGCGUCCUCAAGUCUCUCUUCGUAUACAGCUACUAACACCAUCAUGGGAACACAACCCUCAUAAUGUCAUCCAAUCCUAAUUUCUUCCAGAAGGCUCACCUCCAAAUUCCAUUGACAUGUGACUUUGGAGAUUAAGUUUUAACAUGAGUCUUAGAGGGGACAAACACUCAAAUCAAAGCAGAGGAUUUUUUUUUUUUUUGGCUUAUUCAGCUUUAUUACAUGGAUGCACCCCUUUCUUUUUCCCAUAAUUCAGUCAGGAUCAUCUCCAUGAGAUUUUUAUUUUAAAAUGUUUAUUUAUAUGGAGAUAACAUUUCAUAUACAUAGUUUUAAGAACACAAUAAUACUUGUGUUCUCCUUCCUCCUUUGUUUCUUAUUUUUCUCUUAAUUUUUGCAAUGACACAACUUCAAUUUACAAUCACUAUCCCUGCGCACCACUAAAUAAGAAUUCAACAAGUAAGUAGAAAAAUCAUUGUUCUUCUGGAAUACAAAUAGGGGCCAUAAACAAUAAUAAAAUCUCAAAAUUUCAAUAUUGUUGAUAUAUAUUACAUUUUUGUACUCUGUAUAUCAGGGAAAACAAACAAUGUAUUUGGCUUUUUGGGACUGGCUAAUUUACUAAGCAUAAGGGUCUCUAACUGCAUACCUUUUGUUGUGAAAAACAGGAUUUCAUUCUCACCAUCAAC
Molecule: non-coding RNA, 5274 nt
Organism: Oryctolagus cuniculus (rabbit)
Lineage: Eukaryota; Metazoa; Chordata; Mammalia; Lagomorpha; Leporidae
Source: RefSeq, a predicted model, not a curated record